CACCACCCACACCAGUGAGAGAGACACUCAUGUGGCAACUAAUGCAAAGCACGCUCACUGCGAGCGGCGCAAUCACCCGGGAGCUUUCGCCAGGAGUUAGAGAGAAGCAAAGCCCUCAAUGCACCAGCAGCGACAUGUGUGAAAGCAGUGGUGUAAUGGAGGGGACUUCCAGCUAACAGCAGCAGCGUGGUGUCAUGAGGAAAUAAUGAUGAAAGAAUGCUGAUCACGGGAAUGAUUCAAUCAGAGUGAUUUCCCCAGAAAAUAGUGAAGAUUCUGAUUGAGAAUGUUUUCAUUCCGCAAGCCAAAGCAGAUAAAAGGUAGCCUGAACAGUAUUCGAGCAGUUACCAGUGCAGAGAAUAAUUCAGCAAAUGGACAUCGCGUGGAACAAACCUGGGGGGGAUUCGGCCGGAGGCUGUGACCUGCGGAGGAAAACAGGACUGUUUGAAGAACCUUUUGUAACCUUGUUGGUGCCAGACACAUGGUGACUCUUGUGUAGUGCCGCUAGGU
This is a long non-coding RNA of Amblyraja radiata (thorny skate), 507 nucleotides long. RefSeq lists it as uncharacterized. The record is from RefSeq and is a predicted model, not a curated record. Lineage: Eukaryota; Metazoa; Chordata; Chondrichthyes; Rajiformes; Rajidae. The transcript is spliced from 4 exons.